This is a long non-coding RNA of Saccostrea echinata, 352 nucleotides long. RefSeq lists it as uncharacterized. The transcript has 4 exons. NCBI's taxonomy places the organism in Eukaryota, Metazoa, Mollusca, Bivalvia, Ostreida, Ostreidae. The record is from RefSeq and is a predicted model, not a curated record.
UUGUGAAAUCCACAUGAUUGAAGGAGAAGUCUCCCUUGUUAAAGAUCAGCAAUGGCAGAUAAACAAUGCAUGAUGCAAUCUACUCACUAAAAAGAUUACACCAAUACAUCCCAUGCAUGUAUUUCUACCUAUCACCUAUGUAACCUUUGUCAUGAUCUUCAGAGAGUCAUCAACAGGAAAAGGAAUUACCGGUAAGUUGACAGGACUUUCCACACUGUUUCUGGUAGCAGCUUAUGAUUGAAUUGAUGGUAGAAGACAUGGCCCACUUAAUCAAAGAUAAUCCGUAUAGAGUGGCACCUUAACCAUCACUGGUGAAAUAGAAGAUGACUAGUGGAUGGUCAUCACUUUGCAG